UCCGGUAUAGUCCAGAGGCUAGGAUAUUCCGCUUUCAACCGAUCACUUCGAUUGAAGCACCGGAAAGACCCGGGUUCGAUUCCCGGUACCGGAA
Molecule: transfer RNA, 94 nt
Filed under: Didymella heteroderae
Lineage: Eukaryota; Fungi; Ascomycota; Dothideomycetes; Pleosporales; Didymellaceae
Rfam family: tRNA
About the family: Transfer RNA (tRNA) molecules are approximately 80 nucleotides in length.
Source: Rfam by way of RNAcentral